AUUGACCAUCGGUCGGCCGAGAAGGGCAGGGCGGUCAGUGACUGUUUACAUUCUUUAUGGGCCUGUGUUUACCUGACAAUGACAGGUCCAUGAAGGCCCAGUUGGGUGUACAAAAUCUCCAUCAAACUCCCUCUUUAAAAGCUACCGUCCUUGCCCACUUUUCCCUUACAUCACGUUCACUUUCUUCUCUUCUCUGCUUAUUAUUAAUCUCUCUUUUCUCUCUCCCACACAACCCUGGAGAGAGAUAAAAGAGUCUGAGUUUCAACACAAGAACACUUUCCCAGAUGGAGCCAAGGCACAGGUUUCUUCAAGGUAAAUUUGAAGCAGAAGCAGAAGCUGAAGCUGAAGACUCCAUGGAAGAUGAGGCAAUUACCGCUGCUUCAUCUUCAUCUUAAUUUGGUGCUAUCCUACCUGAGCUUUUUCAACUACUCUUUUCUUCUUCAUUUUUCACUUUGUUUUUAAUUUCUUUCUUUUCUUAUUUUCUUUCUGGUUCUAGUCUUCUUGACCUUGUAAGACCUUUUCUUGACCUUGUAAGACCCCAUUUUGCGUAUUUUCUUUCUUAUUUUUGUUUUCAAACAAACUCUUUAUCGGAAUUUUCUGAUAUAGAGUUUGAUCUCCAUUUCUCCCCGUUUCCGCCCAACUCAUCUUCUCCUUCCUUGUCUAUCCCUCCUGAGCUGCUCGAUCUUUCUUCUUAAUUAUAAUGAUUUCUUCAAUUAGACACCAUAUUUGCCAUGUGGGGUUUCAGUUUUUAUCGCAUAAAAGUGAUGUUAUAUGCACUUAGAAUUAGUUCCAAUAAAGUGUCACAUGAUUUGGAGAGAUAUUGUAUCGUGAAAUUGAGAUAAAGAGUUGUGUAGAAUAAAAAAUAAAGUCUUUGUGUCUGUGUGUAUAGUUUGUUUUGUUAUUUAUUUGACAGUGAAAAAUCGCUUUCUUAUUCUGUUAAGAUCAUCAAUUUCAAUUGUAAGUAUGUGAGGGGUGCAGAAAUAUGCUGUUGCAGGCUUCAGUUUCGUUGUUUUAUAUGUUGUUUUCUGAGAAAAAUAAGCAGAAGAAUAAAUAUUCUUUCAGAUC
Mangifera indica (mango) is the source of this 1065-nucleotide long non-coding RNA. RefSeq lists it as uncharacterized. NCBI's taxonomy places the organism in Eukaryota, Viridiplantae, Streptophyta, Magnoliopsida, Sapindales, Anacardiaceae. The transcript has 2 exons. The record is from RefSeq and is a predicted model, not a curated record.